GAUCCUGGCUCAGGAUGAACGCUAGCGACAGGCCUAACACAUGCAAGUCGAGGGGCAGCGAAGAGGUAGCAAUACCUUUGUCGGCGACCGGCGCGCGGGUGAGUAACACGUAUGCAAUCCACCUGUAACAGGGGGAUAACCCGGAGAAAUCCGGACUAAUACCCCAUAAUAUGGGCGCUCCGCAUGGAGAGCCCAUUAAAGAGAGCAAUUUUGGUUACAGACGAGCAUGCACUCCA
RNAcentral lists this ribosomal RNA (236 nucleotides) under uncultured bacterium. RNAcentral's name for it is "partial 16S ribosomal RNA". It matches the Rfam family "Bacterial small subunit ribosomal RNA", at positions 15 to 240 of the family's 1533-position model. The record is from RNAcentral.